AAUGAACGCUGGCGGCAUGCCUAACACAUGCAAGUCGAACGAAGCCUUCGGGCUUAGUGGCGCACGGGUGCGUAACGCGUGGGAAUCUGCCCCUCGGUUCGGAAUAACAGUUAGAAAUGACUGCUAAUACCGGAUAAUGACGUAAGUCCAAAGAUUUAUCGCCGAAGGAUGAGCCCGCGUAGGAUUAGCUAGUUGGUGUGGUAAAGGCGCACCAAGGCGACGAUCCUUAGCUGGUCUGAGAGGAUGAUCAGCCACACUGGGACUGAGACACGGCCCA
Molecule: ribosomal RNA, 277 nt
Filed under: uncultured bacterium
Lineage: Bacteria
Description: partial 16S ribosomal RNA
Rfam family: Bacterial small subunit ribosomal RNA
Source: RNAcentral